AAAAAAGAACGCUGCUGCCCCACCAACGGGAAUGAAUUUCCGGAGCACAUUUACAUUUUUUUUCAAGACAUGCUAUGGGAAAUGCAAUUAUGUAGG
This is a non-coding RNA of Caenorhabditis elegans, 96 nucleotides long. The record is from Ensembl. Lineage: Eukaryota; Metazoa; Nematoda; Chromadorea; Rhabditida; Rhabditidae.